RNAcentral lists this ribosomal RNA (478 nucleotides) under uncultured bacterium. RNAcentral describes it as "partial 16S ribosomal RNA". It matches the Rfam family "Bacterial small subunit ribosomal RNA", at positions 28 to 523 of the family's 1533-position model. The record is from RNAcentral.
GACGAACGCUGGCGGCAUGCCUAACACAUGCAAGUCGAGCGAGCAGAUCCCUUCGGGGUGAAGCUAGCGGCGGACGGGUGAGUAACACGUGGGCAACCUGCCUCAUAGAGGGGAAUAGCCUUCCGAAAGGAAGAUUAAUACCGCAUAAGAUUGUAGCUUCGCAUGAAGACGCAAUUAAAGGAGCAAUCCGCUAUGAGAUGGGCCCGCGGCGCAUUAGCUAGUUGGUGAAGUAACGGCUCACCAAGGCGACGAUGCGUAGCCGAACUGAGAGGGGGAUCCGCCACAUUGGGACUAAGACACGGCCCAGACUCCUACGUGAGGCAGCAGUGGGGAAUAUUGCACAAUGGGGGAAACCCUGAUGCAGCAAUGCCGCGUGAGUGAUGACGGUCUUCGGGUUGUAAAGCUCUGUCUUCGGGGACGAUAAUGACGGUACCCGAGGAGGAAGCCACGGCUAACUACGUGCCAGCCGCCGCGGUAA